GAGGGUAUAGCUCAAGUGGUAGAGCACAUGUUUACCAUGCCUGAGGUCCUGGGUUCAAUCCCCGGUACCUUCU
This 73-nucleotide transfer RNA is filed under the name Camelus ferus (Wild Bactrian camel). It matches the Rfam family "tRNA". From Rfam's summary of the family: Transfer RNA (tRNA) molecules are approximately 80 nucleotides in length. Their secondary structure includes four short double-helical elements and three loops (D, anti-codon, and T loops). Lineage: Eukaryota; Metazoa; Chordata; Mammalia; Artiodactyla; Camelidae. The record is from Rfam by way of RNAcentral.